AUAAGCAAGAGAAUCCCAUUUUUCUCCGACUGCGAAAUCUGGUGAAGUUUGUUCCAUAUAAAUCUUGGUAAAGCUAGGAGCAUAUCCUUUAACAAAGUCGAAUCGCCAUCCGUCGAAUCCAAUUUCAGUUUUUAGCCAAUUCAUCCAAUCUGAUAAUUCUUUCUGAACUGUGGGAUUGACAUGAUCAAUAUCAGGGGCACCUCCAAAGUCCUCUCCAGUGUCAGGAUUUCCCUGACCAUCAGAAUAGGCAGUGUCGUCUCUGCAAAUGAAGGAAGGACCCCAGUCGAGUUUGCCAUCAGGAGUUCCACCUUCAAAGAUGCAAUAUAUUCCUCUACCAUCUUGCUUCUCAGCAGUUCUGUGGUUUAUCACAAUGUCAGCCAGGCACUUGAUUCCCUUCUGAUGGAAAGCCUCUAUUAGAGAUUUCAGUUCAUCUUGGGAUCCAUAUUUCGACGCACUAAGAUCAUAGAGUCUGCCUGGCAUAUAUCCUUGAGGUGCAACUGAUUGGGAGGGAGGAGGAAGCCAAACAUGAGUAAUUCCAGCAUUGGCCAGAUCAGGAAUGGAGUCCUUCAGAGAGUUGUACCAUCCUCCUGCCUUGUUACAUGACUCCCAAUUGAACCCCUGAAAUAAUAUUGCAGACGAUAUGAAAGAAGGGAAGACAGAAAGGAGGAAGGAUAGGAAGAAGAGUGAAGCGAGAAAGUUCAUAUUCUCUUUCUGAU
RNAcentral lists this unclassified non-coding RNA (716 nucleotides) under Hevea brasiliensis (rubber tree). Lineage: Eukaryota; Viridiplantae; Streptophyta; Magnoliopsida; Malpighiales; Euphorbiaceae. The record is from RNAcentral.